Molecule: long non-coding RNA, 3707 nt
Organism: Felis catus (domestic cat)
Lineage: Eukaryota; Metazoa; Chordata; Mammalia; Carnivora; Felidae
Exons: 2
Source: RefSeq, a predicted model, not a curated record
CGGCGGGGACCGCGCGCUGCGAGCCCGGGGCCGGCCGGGCAGGCGGGGCGGCUCGGGCUCGGGCUCCGGCUCCGGCUCCGGCUCGGGCGCGGUGUCGGCGGCCGCGGCAGCGCCGAGGUUGUAGCACAUUCUUUCUGAGCGUGAUCGAAGGUUUCCUGUAGGAGCCGGAGCGGGGAGGGCUGGAGGAGGGGCGGGGGACGCGGGCGGGGGCGGCCGGAGGGCGGGCGGCGGCCUGGCUCCGCACGUCGGUGGACUGGGGGUGUCCGGAGGUGGCCUCGGGAGGGGAAGUUGGACCGCGGGGGCGGCGAGGGGAGCCGGGAGGCAGCCUCGCCCGCUCCUCGGGGUCCGCCCCGCGCGCCCCCGCCGCCGCCCCAGGCCACCGUUUGGAGAAGCCCCCGAGGUCUAGGAGACGAGACUUUGGGAGGCGACGGGAGGUGGGCACCUGAGGCGGGGGUGUGCACGCGCGUGCGGACACGGCCGUGUGCACACACACCCGCGAGCCGCGUGAAAGUUGACCUGAAGUCAGACCCUGUGUGGGCGCGCGCGUCCGCGAGUGCAAAUGCACAGCCCUCAGGGGCGCGCGUAUCCGGGGACGAGGAGGGCUCGGCACGUGGGGGGCGGGGGUGAGGGGGUGGUCCGGCCCUCGGGCACUCGCCCUCCCCCAGAUCGUUGACACCCCCACCCCCACCCCGCCCCUUGCUCGCCACCCCCUUCGGCUGCGGAGAGGGUGGGGGCGUGGGAUCAGCCAGGCCCCUUCCGAUUCCCCGAACGUUCCGUUUGGCGGACUCCCCUCCCACCGAUCCCCCUUCCCCUUCCUUCGUCUCCCGAAUCCCCGGGGAUCCGAAAUCCCUCGGCCGGCCUCUACACCGGGUUCUAAAGCCGCAGCGCCCUAGACGCCCCGCACCCGCACCCAGCGGCCACACCGCCCGCCGGCGGCUCCCACUGCCCACCGCCCCUGCCCCGGCAUGCGGCUGGCGCGGUGGGUAAAAAUCCCAAACCAGGCUCAAGAGCGCCCCCGCCCGGCACGGCCUGCGCGCCGCUUUCCGAGCCGCCGCGUUGGAACUGCGGAGUGGGUGCCCUGGCGGGCGCGGGGCGCGACCCCCGGAUCCCGCCCGCCGCGCUGCGCCCCUGCCGCCGGGUCCUGCCCCCGCCAGGGAAGGGAGGCCGAGGCGGCUGGGUGGGCUGCGCACCUGGGAGCGCGCGCGCCGCAAAGAGGAGGGGGCUGCAGGAGGGCGAGGGAGUUUGCCCUGGGGUGCCCUUCCCUCCCGGAGGAGGCCCCGGGCCGGCGGAAGUGGCGCGUGAGGCUUCGAGCCGCCGAACCGAAGGCUGUCCCGCCCGAGGAAGGGCGCUGCGCUCUGGUCCCCGGUCCGGUCCGGCGGCCUCUCCGCAGCCCAUAAACUCCAUCCAGCCCGCGGCGCCCAGCGCCCACCCUCCGCGCUCCUCCCAACCCUCCCUCCGCCCUCCCCGCCAAACUUGGUGUCCCUGCAGGCGAGCGGGGAACCGAUACACCAAAGGGGGACGGUGGUGGAGGAGAUGACACCACCUUUCCCCUGGACUCCUGGGCCAGAGGAGGACGGUCAGGGACGGAGCCGCUGUCUGGGACUGUGCCGUCCUUGAGUCCGUGCGCAGGGGCACUCAGACCUUCUGGGGACGGGAGGUGGGGCAGAGGCUGGGCUCGGGGUCUCUCUCGCCUGGGGCCUUAAUGCAGGUGCGCUGCCCCUUUGUAGCCUAGGUCGGCCUGCAGCCCCCUUUCCCGUGUCCUCUCUCCCCAGCACUCCAGGGCCUUGAAAGUCCCGGACCUGCUUCCCCAGGGGCAGCCCUCCUGCGGGACUUUGAGGCCUUUGCUGCGUUUCACCCCUAACUCCCUCCCCAGCUCCUGGAGAUGCUGAAGUAUGCCCUCGUUUUUUCUGAGAGGGCAGAGGGGGGCUGCUGCAACCCCCCAACCACCAGAAGUGGCCCAGCUUCCAUUGCUGCUGUAGCCAGUUGUAAGGGUGCCCUGCCCCCCAUGCCCCCAGAUCAAACGCCCGCCAGGGCCACACCUCGCCCUCACACAUGCGGGCACACCCGCGUGCAAUUGUAAAAUUCACCUCCACGUGUCAAGCAUGUGCUCACUGCCUGCCUCGAUGCAGUCCCCGCAGCCACCUUACAAGCGAGUCCCAUUAACAGCUCCCAUUUGCCGGGAGACCAGGAACUGGGUCAACAAGAUUCUUUUGGUUAAAACAAAGCAGCCACCUUCUCAAGAUUCAGCCCAGUGCUCUUUGGGGUGGAGGCAGGCUGGGCAGCGAGGGCCCUGGGGCUCUGGGGCUCCUGGGCUCUGUGCCGGGCCCCGGGUCGCCCUGGGACGCCCCAGCCAAGUCGUGGCCGCUCCUGAAUCUUCCACCGUGCUGUGAGCUAGCUCAGGGGGGGUAGGACAGUGUGACUCACCUAUGGGUCCCCGUGCCACACGCUGGACCAGCACAGAGGGGGUGACCGAGCACGUUUCCAGAAUAAAGGAGGACCCGCCACAGGUCUCUGCACCCCUGUGGUUGACUCUUCUCUCCUCUAAGGAUGGCCCGGCUGGAGGUAACUGACCCAGGCUGGUCAGUCAGUCACCUGAGGGUGUGCCUGGAUUGGGGGAGGGGCGCAAGUAUCUGGAAUUCAUGUGGAUGAGACCCCUCCCCAAACUGACCCUGAAAAAUGGUACUCAGAGAAAAACAGUGACAAUCUCUUCCCGUGCCCAGAAUUUCACAGUAACAACAAACGCCCAGAGAAUCUAUAAAAGAAGCAACAUCCCAGCUUCCAACCCGAGCAAAGAGCCAAUAUCCCCAUAUAUAAAGAGCUCUUACAAAUCAAGAAAAAUACCCAAGAGGAGAGAAACUGGACAGAGGUUAUGAUGGACGUGCCCAGUGCCAAAGGACGGCAAAUCGUCCCGCCCCAUUUUACAGAGAAGACUGAAUGUCGUGAGCUGGCCGAGACUUGACCAAGGAGUCCCCGGAGGGCACGUCAGGACUUGGACCCAAGGCUUUUUCCUGAGCACCUUUAUUGGGGUAUAAUUUACAUACUGUACCAUUUACCCAUUUACAACAUAGGAUUCGACAGGUUGUAAGAUAAUACGUCACGGAGUUGUGCGACCAUCGCCACUGUUCAUGUUUAGAACAUUUCACCCCCAAAGGCACCCCCCUGUCCCCGUGAGCAGUUACUACCCCCUCCCCACUGCCACCAUGGGCAACCGCUAGCCUACUUUCUGUCUCUAUGGACCUGCCUGUUCCAUAUCUUUCAUACCAAUGGAAUCAUAUAACAUGUGGGCUUUUGUGACUGGCUUAGUUCACUCAACACUCUAAUUUUUGAGAUUCUCUAUACAUUGGAGCACAUAUCACGAUUUCAUUCCUUUAAUUUUUUUUUUUUUAGUUUGUUUUUUUUAGAGAGAGAAGGAGAGAGAGAGUAGGAGGGGGCAGAUAGGAGAGCAAGAAUCCCAAGCAGGCUCCGCACUGUUGGCACAGAGCCCGACGUUGGGCUCGAACUCACCAACCGUGAGAUCAUGACGGGAGCCGAAAUCAAGAGCCGGACUCUUAACCGACUGAGCCACCCAGGCGCCCCUCGAUUUCGUUCCUUUUAAUUGCCUACGAAUACGCCGUUACAUGGAUAAAUCACAUUUCGUCGUCCAUUUACCAGUGCAUGAACAUUUGGGGUGUUCCCCCUUCUGUGACAUUAAAGUGUGUUGCUCCAAA